Molecule: ribosomal RNA, 691 nt
Filed under: uncultured Bacteroidales bacterium
Lineage: Bacteria; Pseudomonadati; Bacteroidota; Bacteroidia; Bacteroidales
Description: bacterial SSU rRNA
Rfam family: Bacterial small subunit ribosomal RNA
Source: RNAcentral
CAAGUCGAGGGGCAGCAUGGUCUUAGCUUGCUAAGGCUGAUGGCGACCGGCGCACGGGUGAGUAACACGUAUCCAACCUGCCGUCUACUCUUGGCCCAGCCUUCUGAAAGGAAGAUUAAUCCAGGAUGGGAUCAUGAGUUCACAUGUCCGCAUGAUUAAAGGUAUUUUCCGGUAGACGAUGGGGAUGCGUUCCAUUAGAUAGUAGGCGGGGUAACGGCCCACCUAGUCAACGAUGGAUAGGGGUUCUGAGAGGAAGGUCCCCCACAUUGGAACUGAGACACGGUCCAAACUCCUACGGGAGGCAGCAGUGAGGAAUAUUGGUCAAUGGGCGAUGGCCUGAACCAGCCAAGUAGCGUGAAGGAUGACUGCCCUAUGGGUUGUAAACUUCUUUUAUAAAGGAAUAAAGUCGGGUAUGCAUACCCGUUUGCAUGUACUUUAUGAAUAAGGAUCGGCUAACUCCGUGCCAGCAGCCGCGGUAAUACGGAGGAUCCGAGCGUUAUCCGGAUUUAUUGGGUUUAAAGGGAGCGUAGAUGGAUGUUUAAGUCAGUUGUGAAAGUUUGCGGCUCAACCGUAAAAUUGCAGUUGAUACUGGAUGUCUUGAGUGCAGUUGAGGCAGGCGGAAUUCGUGGUGUAGCGGUGAAAUGCUUAGAUAUCACGAAGAACUCCGAUUGCGAAGGCAGCCUGCUAAGCU